CUGGGUUGCAGAGCAUCAGAAGGGCAGAGACUGUAUCUUCUGGAGCAGGAAGACCGAAACAUCUAUUUACUCUUAUAUAUAGUCAUGGAUAGCAGCAUGGUGCCAAAUUGAAUUGAAUGCUGGCUUCCCUCCCAGGCUGGUCUCCAUCACUGCCCUCUGGACAGAGUCACUGCUGCUCAGGACACAAGAAGACUCUCAGGUCCUGAGCUCAGCCAGGUGGCCAGUAUCUUGAGGGAUCAACACACUAAUGAAUCAAGCAGGAGUGUGACCUAAAGAAAAGGGACAAUAAAAAAGAAAGAAAGAGAGAGAGAGAAAGAAGGAAAGAAAGAGGACAAUAAAAUGAAGGCAC
This 349-nucleotide long non-coding RNA is filed under the name Cricetulus griseus (Chinese hamster). RNAcentral describes it as "lncRNA (ENSCGRG00015030855.1)". The record is from RNAcentral. Lineage: Eukaryota; Metazoa; Chordata; Mammalia; Rodentia; Cricetidae.